Molecule: long non-coding RNA, 1073 nt
Filed under: Pogona vitticeps (central bearded dragon)
Lineage: Eukaryota; Metazoa; Chordata; Lepidosauria; Squamata; Agamidae
Description: lncRNA (ENSPVIG00000024845.1)
Source: RNAcentral
UUUGUAAGAAAUGUCAUGGGUUUGAUAAAUGAAAUUAUUUGUUAGGCCAAAUACGACUGGAAACAAUUAACAUUACAUUAUUAUUUUCUCCCAGUGAGAUCGCAGAACAUGGUUUUACUGACCAUAGAACGCCAAAUAUUUCAUCUCACUGCAAUUAUAUUAGAAGGCAUGAUUUCUUUUCAGUACUGUACUUGAACUUGGUCAGGUGGAAUCAUACAUCCCAAAUGGGCAAUUGUGGUGGACAAGAAAUUCAGGAACCAUCGGCUCUGCUUAGAUCAUUUGUCCUUAUAAUUGAGAAUUUACCCAUCACCUGUCAAACCAGGCUAGACAGAAUGUCUGAUUUGCUGUCUGGCAAAACAUCUGGAGUCUGAAUCAUACCCGGUUACAUCUUCUUGACUACUCUCCUCCUUUCUUCACUGCUAUCCCUCUAAUCUCCUGCUUCUCUUUCUGCCAGACUGUUGAGUGUGGUUCUGUGAAACACAGUGGCCCUGGAUGGAAAUAUAGCAUGGCAUCAAAAGGACAGAAAACAGACCUCUGGAGUUUUCUCACCAGCCCUAAUACUGAACUCCCUUGAUAUCUUUGGAAAUCUCAUGAAAAUUCCAUGCCUGCUUGAAAGAGUAGAAUGAAGAGGAAGAGGAAGAAGUUCUUGUCAGAACGAUCUUUAGUGGUGGUGGGAAACCCUAGUUUGGUUUCAUCGAAGAAGUCAGUUAUAUUGUGUUCCACGUGUUUCUCUCUGUUUCCAGCCUCCUGCACUUUGCCUCAGUGUUUUUUCUUUCCACACCUAUAUUUGCUUCUCUGGGCUGAAUCGUACUGACUCAGUUAUUCCUUGCAAGUAUUGGUCAGAUUAUACCAGUGCAGCCAAGUGUUUCUGAUUGUGACCUGGAUGAUCCUUUCUCCUCUCCUUCACCGUAUUUCACAUAAUCUAAAUCUUUUUGUGGGUGGGGGAUUAAGUUUGGGUUCACUGGACUAUUCUCUUAAAUGUCCCCAUCAUUGGAUGUGUAAACCAUGAUGCCUUUUCCCCCCCACUUAUUUGUACUGAAAUCAGAGUUGCACUUACGGUUUUGACCAAGUCU